RNAcentral lists this ribosomal RNA (954 nucleotides) under Triticum aestivum (bread wheat). Its description in RNAcentral is "partial small subunit ribosomal RNA". Lineage: Eukaryota; Viridiplantae; Streptophyta; Magnoliopsida; Poales; Poaceae. The record is from RNAcentral.
AUGAGCUCCUUCGCCGGCUCACUGAUCGUCUCCGUGCUGAGUUUGCCAUCAAGGACUUGGGUCUGUUACACUACUUCCUCGGUGUUGAGGUGGUGCGCCGUCCUGAUGGUUUCUUCCUUAAUCAACGGAAGUAUGCUCAUGAACUCCUCGACCGUGCUGGGAUGCUUAACUGCAAACCGGCCGCCACGCCUGUUGACACGAAGGCCAAGCUCUCCACUACCGAUGGUACUCUCGCUCCGGAUGCUGCCUUCUACCGGUCCAUUGUCGGUGCUCUCCAGUACCUCACUCUCACUCGGCCAGAGCUUCAGUACGCGGUUCAGCAGGUCUGUCUGCAUAUGCAUGCUCCUCGAGAUGUUCACUGGACUGUCGUUAAGCGGAUUCUUCGCUACAUCCACGGUGAUAUGGAUCUUGGUCUUACUCUGCGCGCCUCCACUGCCACUGAUCUGGUCGCCUACUCCGACGGCGACUGGGCUGGCUGCCCGGACACCCGUCGCUCUACUUCGGAUUACUGCAUCUUCCUUGGACCGUCCCUGGUGUCGUGGUCGUCCAAGCGGCAGCCCACCGUCUCGCGGUCUAGCGCAGAGGCUGAGUACCGCGCUGUGGCUAACGUUGUUGCUGAGUGUUCCUGACUUCGUCAGCUUCUUCGCGAGCUCUCGUGUCCUGUUGAGAAGGCCACGAUCGUCUACUACGACAAUGUCUCCGUCGUCUACCUCUCCGCCAACCCGGUUCAUCAUCGUCGCACCAAGCACAUUGAGCUUGAUAUCCAUUCUGUUCGGGAUCAGGUGGCUCUUGGCCAUGUUUGUGUUCUAUACGUACCCACCUCCCAACAAUGAACAAUUUGCCGACAUCAUGACCAAAGGCUUGCCUACGACGUCUUUCAAGGAAUUCCGGUCCAGUCUUUGUGUCAGCAACGGUGUCGCUUCGACUGCGGGGGGUGUUGAGAUAUGUAUUUAG